Molecule: small nucleolar RNA, 63 nt
Organism: Cyanistes caeruleus (blue tit)
Lineage: Eukaryota; Metazoa; Chordata; Aves; Passeriformes; Paridae
Source: Ensembl
GUACAGAUGAUGAGCGUUGCGUUAUGAGGGGUAACAAUGAUACUGUAAACGCUUUCUGAUGUA